AGAGCAGCCAACAUGGCGGCGGAACGCGGCGCGGGGCAGCAACAGUCGCAGGAGAUGAUGGAGGAAGAACAUGAGCUGCCUGUGGACAUGGAAACCAUCAACCUGGACAGAGAUGCAGAGGAUGUUGAUUUGAAUCACUAUCGCAUAGGGAAGAUUGAAGGAUUUGAGGUACUGAAGAAAGUGAAGGUGAGAGGGACUCUCAUGAGGGGACUAUGACGCUCACCCAUAGGAUGUGGAUAAGUCCAGAAUCCAGCAAUCAGUCCUGAGUUGUGGUCCUUGUCCCAGCCUGUGGGCGGCGUGGCUGCCUCCACCUUGUAGCAGGCCUUUCUUUACUGGGAGCACAGCAGGUGUGAGACAGCAGUGGAGGGACUUGAGGCACAGCCCUGGGGCUGGCUCUCCUGAGCCCAGGCAGCCAGUGACCUGUGACUCUGGCCUGCCUCAGUUCUGCGCCUGUGUUCAAUUAGGCACUCGCUGAAUUUUACAGUCCUCCGCGCAUCUCAUUGGAAUUUGUCAAAACUGAGCCCACCAAAGGUUCUUAUGUUCUGCCAGGAAGUGGCAG
Molecule: small RNA, 559 nt
Filed under: Pan troglodytes (chimpanzee)
Lineage: Eukaryota; Metazoa; Chordata; Mammalia; Primates; Hominidae
Description: retained intron
Source: RNAcentral